This 483-nucleotide ribosomal RNA is filed under the name uncultured bacterium. RNAcentral's name for it is "partial 16S ribosomal RNA". It matches the Rfam family "Bacterial small subunit ribosomal RNA", at positions 29 to 507 of the family's 1533-position model. The record is from RNAcentral.
AUUGAACGCUGGCGGCAGGCCUAACACAUGCAAGUCGAGCGGAUGAAGGGAGCUUGCUCCUGGAUUCAGCGGCGGACGGGUGAGUAAUGCCUAGGAAUCUGCCUGGUAGUGGGGGAUAACGUCCGGAACCGGGCGCUAAUACCGCAUACGUCCUGAGGGAGAAAGUGGGGGAUCUUCGGACCUCACGCUAUCAGAUGAGCCUAGGUCGGAUUAGCUAGUUGGUGGGGUAAAGGCCUACCAAGGCGACGAUCCGUAACUGGUCUGAGAGGAUGAUCAGUCACCGUGGAGGUGAGAGGCGGUCCGGGCUCCUACGGGAGGCAGCAGUGGGGAAGGUGGGAAAAAGGGCGAAAGACUGAACAAGCCAUGCAGGGUGGAUGAAGAAGGGCUGCGGAUGGUAAGGCGGUUUAAGUGGGGAGAAAGGGAAUUGACUUAAACGAUUGCUGUUUGGCGGUAACGAACAAAAUAGGCACCGCUAACCUCCUU